AUACGGAGGGGGCAAGCGUUGUUCGGAAUUACUGGGCGUAAAGAGUACGUAGGCGGAUCGUUCAGUUAGGGGUGAAAUCCCAGGGCUCAACCCUGGAACUGCCCUUAAUACUGGCGGUCUAGAGAUCGAGAGAGGUGAGUGGAAUUUCCAGUGUAGAGGUGAAAUUCGUAGAUAUUGGGAAGAACACCAGUGGCGAAGGCGGCCAUCUGGUCCGGCACUGACGCUGAGGCGCGAAAGCGUGGGGAGCAAACAGGAUUAGAAACCCUAGUAGUCC
This 274-nucleotide ribosomal RNA is filed under the name uncultured bacterium. RNAcentral's name for it is "partial 16S ribosomal RNA". It matches the Rfam family "Bacterial small subunit ribosomal RNA", at positions 523 to 796 of the family's 1533-position model. The record is from RNAcentral.